RNAcentral lists this ribosomal RNA (2190 nucleotides) under marine metagenome. Its description in RNAcentral is "bacterial LSU rRNA". It matches the Rfam family "Bacterial large subunit ribosomal RNA", at positions 1 to 2352 of the family's 2925-position model. The record is from RNAcentral.
UCAAGCGUUUAAGGGCGUGUAGUGGAUGCCUUGGCACUGAAAGCCGAUGAAGGACGUGAUAUACUGCGAUAAGUUUCGGGGAGCUGUAUGUAAGUUUUGAUCCGAAAAUUUCCGAAUGGGGAAACCCACCACUUUAUGUGGUACUUUAAACUGAAUACAUAGGUUUAAAGAGACAACCUGGAGAACUGAAACAUCUAAGUAACCAGAGGAAAAGAAAUCAAUUGAGAUUCCGUUAGUAGUGGCGAGCGAACGCGGACUAGGCCAGUAGUUUUGUUAAAAAAAUUUGAAUAGUUUGGAAAUGCUAACCAUAGAGGGUGAUAGUCCCGUAUGAGUAAUGUUUAACAAAAUUCUUGAGUAAAGCGGGACACGUGAAAUCCUGCUCGAAUAUAGGGGGACCACCCUCUAAGCCUAAAUACUCUUCAGUGACCGAUAGUGAACUAGUACCGUGAGGGAAAGGUGAAAAGAACCCCUAUUAGGGGAGUGAAAUAGAACCUGAAACUGCAUGCCUACAAUCAGUCGAAGCUCUUUUUAGAGUGACGGCGUACCUUUUGUAUAAUGGGUCAGUGACUUAAUUUAUAAAGCAAGCUUAAGCCAUCUAGGUGUAGGCGUAGCGAAAGCAAGUCUUAAUAGGGCGAUUAGUUUUAUGAAUUAGACCCGAAAACGAAUGAGCUUACCAUGAGCAGGUUGAAAGUUGGGUAACACCAACCGGAGGACCGAACCAGUUGACGUUGAAAAGUCUUUGGAUGACUUGUGGUAAGGGGUGAAAGGCCAACCAAAUUCGUAGAUAGCUGGUUUUCCGCGAAAACUAUUUAGGUAGUGCGUUGAAUAAAUAGAUGUUUAGAGGUAGAGCACUAAAUGGGCUAGGGGGAAGAGAUUCUUACCAAACCUAAUAAAACUCCGAAUGCUAGACAUUGUUCUUCAACAGACAGACUGUGGGUGCUAAGGUCCAUGGUCGAGAGGGAAAGAGCCCAGACCACCAGAUAAGGUCCCCAAAUUAUGAUUAAGUGUGAAAGGAUGUGGAAAUUCCUUAACAGCCGGGAGGUUGGCUUAGAAGCAGCCAUCCUUUAAAGAUAGCGUAACAGCUCACCGGUCUAAUAGAGUUUCUGCGCCGAAGAUGUAACGGGGCUAAAAUCAUAUACCGAAUCUGUGGGUUUAUAAAAUUUUCGAAUUUUAUAAGCGGUAGCGGAACGUUCUGUAAGCCUGUGAAGGGAUACCCGUGAGGGAUCCUGGAGGUAUCAGAAGUGCGAAUGCUGACAUAAGUAACGAUAAAAGAAGUGAAAAACUUCUUCGCCGAAAAUCCAAGGGUUUCUGCGCAAGGUUAAUCCGCGCAGAGUUAGUCGGCACCUAAGGCGAGGGCGAAAGCCGUAGUCGAUGGAAAUAAGGUUAAUAUUCCUUAACCAGAUGGUAGUGACGGAUCUUGUAAGUUGUGAGUUCUUAAUGGAUUGAGCUUGCCGCGAAAAGGUUCCAAGAAAUAGCUCCAUCAUUAGACCGUACCCUAAACCGACACAGGUGGAUUAAUAGAGUAUAUUUAGGCGCUUGAGAGAAUGAUGUUGAAGGAACUCGGCAAAAUGCUUCCGUAACUUCGGGAUAAGGAAGACCUGUUUUUAGGCAACUAGAGAUGGGUGGCACAAGCCAGGGAGAAGCGACUGUUUAUCAAAAACACAGGGCUCUGCUAACACGUAAGUGGAUGUAUAGGGUCUGACGCCUGCCCGGUGCUGGAAGGUUAAUGCGGUUGGUGCAAGCUAACUUCUGAAGCCCCAGUAAACGGCGGCCGUAACUAUAACGGUCCUAAGGUAGCGAAAUUCCUUGUCGGGUAAGUUCCGACCUGCAUGAAUGGCGUAACGAUUUCUCCGCUGUCUCCAACAUCAACUCAGUGAAAUUGAAUUCUCCGUGAAGAUGCGGAGUUCGCGUAGUUAGACGGAAAGACCCCGUGCACCUUUACUGCAACUUUACAUUGGUAUUAGGAAAAACAUAUUUAGCAUAGGAGGGAGACAUUGAAGCAAAGGCGUCAGCUUUUGUGGAGUCACCAGUGAAAUACCUCUUUUGUUUUUCUUGGUAUCUAACUGAUUGCCGUUAUCCGGCAUCAAGACAUUGUAUGGUGGGUAGUUUGACUGGGGCGGUCGCCUCCCAAAUAGUAACGGAGGCGUGCGAAGGUAGGCUCAGAACGGUCAGAAAUCGUUCGUAGAGUGC